This is a non-coding RNA of Paramuricea clavata, 358 nucleotides long. Lineage: Eukaryota; Metazoa; Cnidaria; Anthozoa; Malacalcyonacea; Plexauridae. The record is from the annotation of a GenBank genome assembly.
UCCGUGUUGAUAUGAAAACGAGAAAUUGUGUCGAAACACGACGCCCGAAGGGCGGAGUGUUUUCACACAAUUUCGAGUUUUCCCAAUUUCCACGAGUGCUGAUAUUAACGGCUUAUUGACCGAGCGUGAUGUCUGUAAUGUGAAAUAUCAGACCGAGGUCUCAUAUUUCACAGUGCAGACCGAACAAGCGAGGUCAAUAGUCGGUUUAUUAUAUGGCGGAACCGAGACUGUGAGCAUAUGCUUUUCGCGCGAAUUAAAUCGGCUAUCGUCAGUUUCACUGGGUAACAAUAUACGGUAGGCAUGCAUGCUCAAUCAAAAACAAUUUGGUUCUUUGAAGUUUUUAUCUGUAAAUUUCAAU